GUGCUCACUUCAGCAGCACAUAGACUAAAAUUAGAACAAUACAGAGAAGACUAGCAUGGCCCCUGAACAAGGGUGACAUGCAAAUUUGUGAAGCAUUCCAUAUAUUC
Molecule: small nuclear RNA, 107 nt
Organism: Onychomys torridus (southern grasshopper mouse)
Lineage: Eukaryota; Metazoa; Chordata; Mammalia; Rodentia; Cricetidae
Source: RefSeq, a predicted model, not a curated record